This 172-nucleotide ribosomal RNA is filed under the name uncultured bacterium. RNAcentral describes it as "partial 16S ribosomal RNA". It matches the Rfam family "Bacterial small subunit ribosomal RNA", at positions 337 to 505 of the family's 1533-position model. The record is from RNAcentral.
CCUUACCGGAGGUGGCGGUGGGGAAUGUGGCCAAUGGGGGCAACCCUGAUCCAGCCCUGCCGCGUGGGUGAAGAAGGCCCUCCCCUUGUAAAGCUCUUCAUCCGGAAGGAAAAGGUUCGGGUUAAUACCCCGCGACUGACGGUACCGGCAAGAAUAAGCACUGCUAUUAUCG